This 2568-nucleotide long non-coding RNA is filed under the name Linum usitatissimum (flax). RNAcentral's name for it is "long non-coding RNA (LUSI_LNC003140)". The record is from RNAcentral. Lineage: Eukaryota; Viridiplantae; Streptophyta; Magnoliopsida; Malpighiales; Linaceae.
AAGGAGAAGACAUGGGAUUGAGAUCGGCGGCGACGUUUGGUAAUGAGGAGAUCGUAGAUCGAGGAGAAAGGAGCAGUGAUGACGGAUCUUUCGGCAUGAGGAGUUUGCCGAAUUCGAGAGAGCGCGAAGGAGGACGCGCUACGUCGAUCGGUGGCGAGUACCGCUUAUUCCAAGGAUGUGGGAGCCUCGACGGAGCUUCGACGGAGCUUUGCCAGAAACUGGGCAGAGGUGUGAGCCCCUUGGCCGGAGAAGAAGAGGGACCCAACUACAGUUUCCAAAAGUUAAGUGACCCGUUGGUAAUUCUCCCAGUUAGUUAUAAGUUUUGCUUCCGUAGUUCUAAACUUUUGGAUGGUUUACAGUUAAGGACUUGGGUCUAUUUUGUCAAUGAUUGGAAGUUCUGGAUCAGCUAGUAUAACGUAGGCAGUUAGAGGACUAGCGAGUUUUAGAAUGUUGUAAAGAAGUAAAUGGAGCAUAACUUCGUUAUUUGAGCUCCAAACGAUGCACAGUCAAAAGCUACGGGCUCGUGACAGUGAGAGGAAUCAUGUCAAGUCAAAAUCAGAGAUACCAGCUCUUCAUAACAGGUGGGGGUUUAGGAUUAGUUUUUCUCUUUAAUCGUAGAAUUGUAAUUAGGUGAGAGUUUAAUGAUUGGAUUCUCAGGACUAUACAGUAACGUGUGAUCUACUAUACAAGUGUUGUAUUUCAGAGCAAGGCUCUCAGGCUGUCUAGUAGCGUGUGAUCUACCGUACAUAUAGUUAUAUUAUUACGAGCAUAAACUCUUGGUAAUUGAACUGUAGCGUGUGAUUCACAAGUUAGAGUAGGACAAGAUUAGGCUUAGCUAGAUAGCUCCCAUUUAUGCGUUGGUCACCCACCAAUGGAUUGCGCAAUCCCCCAGGAUUCAUUCAAGUUCAGACAGGACGUGAUGAGUUAACCUUCAGUGUUGCUCUUAAGGCUUUUCAAGGUGGUUUCAUGGUCUGAUCCACCACGAGGUUGUUCGCUCAUAGCUCGGGGUGGCUGAUGUUAGGAUGAUGCCUACAGGAUCACAAGGUCACAUUAUUAGUUUCAGUGUUUAAAUAAACUUCUUGUUCUAUCCUCGGUGAAGGCUCAGUAAAGUCUCAGUACAUGCAGAGUAAAGUUUCAAUACAUGCCAGUAAAAUCUCAACUCAGUUCAGUUCUACGCAAGGCUAGUUUAGCCACUCAGUGCUUAUCACUGACCCCGUUAUUUUUUUUUUCCUUGGUGUAUCUGUUUGUUCAGUCACAAGUAUUGGAGCUGAUGGUGGGGAGAGAGCUGGUCGGUGUUUUGGUAUCAAAAGAUAUCGUUUUGAUGUAUUUUCAGACUAGAGUUGCAUCUCUUUUUAUUUUAUUGUGUUUUGGGAUCCGGGAUCCUAGUUGGUCAGCUGUAUUUAAGUGUUCAACUUUCAGCGUUUAUUUCUUGAUUUAAUGUUUUGUUUAGUGAAUUAGGGUUGAGUUAUGGUUCAAGUUGAAACUGAGUAGGAUUCUUUGAUUGAACCAAUGAUUCAAGCGAGAUUUCUAGAGUGAGAUUUCACAUUCAUCAAAUUAAUAAGGCUGGAAAUUUACUAAAAAGGGUAAGAAAUGACAAAAGUAAUUCACUUAAGCAAACAAAAACUCACAAGUAAAAUGAAACUUCUUCACUUAAGGCUGGUUGCUAAAUCCAUGAUAUAAAGACAUAAAAAUGAUCAACUAUCAUCUAGCUUAAUACCAUAUACAUUAAGGACUCAAAGACCAUACAAAGACUUUAAACAUGACAUCAACAUUCAGCAAUACAUGAGUUCUUUGUUAAAAAAAGUUGCUGGAAUUUUAUUAAAAAAAUGUGAAAAUAAUUAAAGUUCUCAAAACGAAUGAGCUACCUUCAUUCUACCAAAAUUGUUACACUUACCCUUGAUUGAAUAGCCAAGUUAUCAUCUCUUUUUUAACGUAUUGGCAACAAAAAAGGGUGAUAUACCCUUCUUUCUUUCUUAUACGCGUUGACUUUAAAGAAUUGAAAUAAUUUCAAAUUCUUAUUUUACUUUCGUUGAACUUCGUUUUCUCAUUCUUGUUCCUAGGUCGGCUUUCUCGAGCAAGUCGGCAGCGAAUUUCUUCACCUGGAAACGUAAAGAAGAGAAAAUCAGUUAAUUUUGAUUAAAAUAAGAUGUUAGAUCUUUUCACUUAGUGGGGGUCGUUUUCGGGGUUUUAGUCCUACCGGCGACGAUCCUCCGACUGGCGGCCUCAUCCUCUUCCACAGUUUUCCGAAAAAAAUAAAAGGAAAAUCAGGGAUAAAGGAGAAGAAAAUAUGUUAAUGAAAGAAUAAGACCUAAAACUUGUGGAUCGAGGCUUGAAUGUUGGCGGAGGACUCGCCGGUAGUGUCCUCCGACGACAUGCAAGUCUAGACUUAGUUUAAACCGAAAAUAAGAGAGGAAUAGAAAGAUAGGAGCGGCCACUGCGAAGAAGAGCAGAGAAGAGGAGAAGCGGAGUGGUGUUGGCACGCGAAGGAGAGCUGGCGGUAGCAUCAACACCAUCGCCAAUGAACGGGAGAUGAGAGGGGAUGGUAAAGAGAAAAGGAGAAGAGUCGAU